GAUGAACGCUGGCGGCGUGCUUAACACAUGCAAGUCGAGCGGUAAGGCCUUUCGGGUUACACUAUCGGCGAACGGGUGGGUAACACGUUGGUGAUUUGCCCUGCACUUCGUGAUAAGCCUGUGAAACUGGGUCUAAUACCGGAAAUGACCUCCUAUCGCAUGGUGGGUGGGGUCAAUAUUUAUCGGUGAAGGAUGGGCCGGCGGUCUAUCAGCUUGUUGGUCAGGUAAUGGCAUACCAAGGCCAAGACGGGUAGCCCACCUGAGAGGGUGACCGGCCACAAUGGGACUGAGACACGGCCCAGACUCCUACGGGAGGCAGCAGUGGGGAAUAUUGCACAAUGGGGGCAAGCCUGAUGCAGCGACGCCGCGUGAGGGAUGACGGCCUUCGGGUUGUAAACCUCUUUCAGCAGGGACGAAGCGCAAGUGACGGUACCUGAAGAAGAAGCACCGGCUAACUACGUG
RNAcentral lists this ribosomal RNA (462 nucleotides) under uncultured bacterium. RNAcentral describes it as "partial 16S ribosomal RNA". It matches the Rfam family "Bacterial small subunit ribosomal RNA", at positions 28 to 507 of the family's 1533-position model. The record is from RNAcentral.